UCCGUAGGGUGCGAGCGUUACUCGGAAUUACUGGGCGUAAAGCGUGCGCAGGCGGUUCGUUGUGUCUGAUGUGAAAGCCCCGGGCUCAACCUGGGAAUGGCAUUGGAAACUGGCGAGCUAGAGUGUGGCAGAGGGGGGUGGAAUUCCGCGUGUAGCAGUGAAAUGCGUAGAUAUCAGGAGGAACACCAGCAGCGAAGGCGGCGCUCUGGGCUGGAACUGACGCUGAGGAGCGAAAGCGUGGGUAGCAAACAGG
RNAcentral lists this ribosomal RNA (253 nucleotides) under uncultured bacterium. RNAcentral describes it as "partial 16S ribosomal RNA". It matches the Rfam family "Bacterial small subunit ribosomal RNA", at positions 524 to 776 of the family's 1533-position model. The record is from RNAcentral.